RNAcentral lists this long non-coding RNA (498 nucleotides) under Homo sapiens (human). RNAcentral describes it as "HSALNT0370898". Lineage: Eukaryota; Metazoa; Chordata; Mammalia; Primates; Hominidae. The record is from RNAcentral.
GAUAAACCGACACUUUCCCAACCGCUUCACCACCCCUCAGCGACUUCCGCUUCCGGCGACUCCAUGGGGAAACUGAAGCCCUAGAGGAAAAGAAGACUAAAUGUAUUACCAUCUGACCCACUUCCUGGCCAGCCUGUUCACCUGUCUGCUGUUCUUCAUUGAACAAGAGAAGGAAUCACAAUUGGUCCAUGACAGUCACGGUCAUCUCAUUCCUCUUGCCAGUGGCAGGUGUAUGUGUGAGUUUGCAGCUCAAUCCUGGCCAAGGGGAUCCAAGGACUGCUGAAGAGGCAUGUCUGCACAUGUCACCUAGAACAUCUCCAGCCAUCAUGUGAUCUCUGGGGGAGGCAUUCCCAACUCUCUGAGAGAAGCAGACCAGAAAGAUGGAAAGAAAGCACCUGGCUCCAGGAUGAUGACAUUGAGCCGAUGAAUUAACCACCUUUGUGCUGCUCUAACCUUCAGAGUUCACCUUAACAUGAGAAAAUAAAACCCUUAUUGCUU